This 734-nucleotide ribosomal RNA is filed under the name uncultured bacterium. RNAcentral describes it as "bacterial SSU rRNA". It matches the Rfam family "Bacterial small subunit ribosomal RNA", at positions 193 to 907 of the family's 1533-position model. The record is from RNAcentral.
UCUAAGGAUGAAAGUGGGGGGGAUCGCAAGACAUCAUGCUCCUGGAGCGGCCGAUAUCUGAUUAGCUAGUUGGUGAGGUAAAGGCUCACCAAGGCCCCGAUCAGUAGCUGGUCUGAGAGGACGACCACCACACUGGAACUGAGACACGGUCCAGACUCCUACGGGAGGCAGCAGUGGGGAAUUUUGGACAAUGGGCGCAAGCCUGAUCCCAGCAAUGCCGCGUGAGUGAAGAAGGCCUUCGGGUUGUAAAGCUCUUUUGUCAGGGAAGAAACGGCUCGAGCUAAUAUCUUGGGCUAAUGACGGUACCUGAAGAAUAAGCACCGGCUAACUACGUGCCAGCAGCCGCGGUAAUACGUAGGGUGCAAGCGUUAAUCGGAAUUACUGGGCGUAAAGCGUGCGCAGGCGGUUUUGUAAGUCUGUCGUGAAAGCCCCGGGCUCAACCUGGGAAUUGCGAUGGAGACUGCAAGGCUUGAAUCUGGCAGAGGGGGGUAGAAUUCCACGUGUAGCAGUGAAAUGCGUAGAGAUGUGGAGGAACACCGAUGGCGAAGGCAGCCCCCUGGGUCAAGAUUGACGCUCAUGCACGAAAGCGUGGGGAGCAAACAGGAUUAGAUACCCUGGUAGUCCACGCCCUAAACGAUGUCUACUAGUUGUCGGGUUUUAAUUAACUUGGUAACGCAGCUAACGCGUGAAGUAGACCGCCUGGGGAGUACGGUCGCAAGAUUAAAACUCAAAGG